Molecule: long non-coding RNA, 884 nt
Organism: Hipposideros armiger (great roundleaf bat)
Lineage: Eukaryota; Metazoa; Chordata; Mammalia; Chiroptera; Hipposideridae
Exons: 5
Source: RefSeq, a predicted model, not a curated record
AAGACAAACCUUCGCCAAAGGAAAAGAAAAGGGGAAGAGAACCAACAUUUAUGGAGCACCUUCCCUGGGCUGGACAUGCAGCAAGGCGCUGUACACAUUGUCUUUUCUCCUUAUUACAGCCCUGUGACGUGGGCAACGUUACCCCCAUUUCACAGAAGUCCCAUAAAAGAAUCCUUGUCAAGAGAAAACACAGCUGGUGCCCAAUUAGAGAGGUGAUUGAGACUAAUCGACCAGGAGAGCUCUUAAUUAAGCUGGACCUCAAGCUGCAAACAGACAGACGGCGGCUGGGGAGCUGAGAUGGCCCCACACGCUCAUGUAAAGGCGGCGGAUGAGAAGGGUACACGGUUUACUUCAGGAGGCAAAGCGUUGGGGAUUUCAGUGACACCUGAAUUUAAGAUUUAAAGGUUGGCUCUGCCAAGCCUGACACCUGAUGUGGGCCCGCUGCUUUCCAUGAGAAGCCUUGGCUCUGGAACCUCUAUUCAGCAGCAUGAUCUGGCUCUUCCGACUGAGGCGCCUGCCUCCUAGGUGAAUGUGAAGAUGAAAGGAGGUCAUAAGGAAUAUCCACUGUUUACCAACUUGUUAUUGGACCUCUGGACACAUUUAUGGAUCCACAUGGCCUGGGAAAGCAGCCAGCAGGACAGACGGGCCUCCGGCACGGCACAGGUACAUUCGUGCAGCCAUCGGCAAUCGUGGGCUGUCUCCAGUUGUAUUUUGACAGCACCAGCUCCCCUGGCAUCUUCUCAGCACCAGUGAUUCAGAGCUGUCAGCUAACGCAGCUGCGAGGAAACGUCGAUGAUGGAUUGAUGGUGUGCAGCAAUGACUUCGUGACCCACAGAUGGAAAAGCAGAUGACUUUGAAAUAAGACUAGUCAAUGUGGCAGGAGG